UCAGCGUCCCGAAGGCCUCG
This 20-nucleotide unclassified non-coding RNA is filed under the name Mus musculus (house mouse). Its description in RNAcentral is "oocyte_clustered_small_RNA8736". The record is from RNAcentral. Lineage: Eukaryota; Metazoa; Chordata; Mammalia; Rodentia; Muridae.